RNAcentral lists this transfer RNA (75 nucleotides) under Pelecanus crispus (Dalmatian pelican). It matches the Rfam family "tRNA". From Rfam's summary of the family: Transfer RNA (tRNA) molecules are approximately 80 nucleotides in length. Lineage: Eukaryota; Metazoa; Chordata; Aves; Pelecaniformes; Pelecanidae. The record is from Rfam by way of RNAcentral.
GCCGGGUUAGCUCAGUUGGUUAGAGCGUGGUGCUAAUAACGCCCAAGUUCACAGGUUCAAUCCCUGCUUACUGCA